AACGAACGCUGGCGGCGGGCCUCAUACAUGCAAGUCGAGCGCGAAAGUCCUUCGGAGUGAGUAAAGACGGCGCACGGGUGAGUAACACGUGGAUAAUCUACCCCUUCGGUAUUGGAAUAACCUGUCGAAAGACGGGCUAAUGCCGAGUGAGCUUACGAGGUCGUGAUGGCCUUGUACGGAAGAUGGCGCAAGCUAUCGCCGAGGGAUGAGUCUGCGUCCCAUUAGUUAGUUGGUGAGGUAAUGGCUUACCAAGACAAUGAUGGGUACCUGGUCUGAGAGGAUGAUCAGGCACACUGGAACUGAAACACGGUCCAGACUCCUACGGGAGGCAGCAGUA
RNAcentral lists this ribosomal RNA (337 nucleotides) under uncultured bacterium. RNAcentral's name for it is "bacterial SSU rRNA". It matches the Rfam family "Bacterial small subunit ribosomal RNA", at positions 29 to 356 of the family's 1533-position model. The record is from RNAcentral.